RNAcentral lists this ribosomal RNA (431 nucleotides) under uncultured eukaryote. RNAcentral's name for it is "bacterial SSU rRNA". It matches the Rfam family "Eukaryotic small subunit ribosomal RNA", at positions 592 to 1018 of the family's 1831-position model. The record is from RNAcentral.
CAGUAGCGUAUAUUAAAGUUGUUGCAGUUAAAAAGCUCGUAGUUGGAUUUCUGGUACGCUGCGCCUGGCCCGCCCGCGUUAGCGGUGUGAGUGUCGGUGCGCGGUUGCCAUCCUUCUAGAGAACGUGCCUACCUUUAAUUAGGCCGGGCACGGGAUCUAGAUCAUUUACUUUGAAAAAAUUAGAGUGUUUAAAGCAGGCUUAAGCCGUUGAAUACAUUAGCAUGGAAUAAUAAGAUAAGACUUGGGUCAUUAUUUUGUUGGUUUGCGGAUCGAGGUAAUGAUUAAUAGGGAUAGUUGGGGGUAUUCAUAUUUAAUUGUCAGAGGUGAAAUUCUUGGAUUUAUGAAAGAUGAACUUAGGCGAAAGCAUUUACCAAGGAUGUUUUCAUUAAUCAAGAACGAAAGUUAGGGGAUCGAAGACGAUCAGAUACCAU